CAUUUCUUCAUCUCUUUCUCUCUCUAGGCUGAUGGAAACCGAGCAAUUGAGGGAGGCAACAAGUUGAUGAUAAGAAGAAUUUUGUGGAGCAGCAAGGAAGGCUUUUUAAAGCUGAGAUUAAUCAAAAGAAGUAACUAAUUAAGGUGAAAUUCUUGGUUAGUUAAAUGAUUUUAGUAGCUCUAAUCAGAGUUGUAAGUAAUAAAAGGGUUGUCUUAUGUGUAGGAGCUGAAAAGAGGAUUUUAAAACAGAAAUUCUGAUUGUGAAGUUGAAGAAGCCUUGGAAAAGCUUCGAAUACAGAUUGGGGCUUCGGUUUAGGGGUAGCUUGAUGCUCGCAGGUUGCAUUAGAGAUGCCGAAGUGGAGACCCAGCUUGGUGUAGUUUAGGGGCUUGGAGUAUGUGGAAUUUGAAGCUUCAGGCUGAUUGAAGCUGCUAAGUUGAUGCUUUGAUUAAGGAAAAUUAGGAAUUAAAGUAAGUAAAUUGCUUCCCUAUUAGGCUGAGCAUAAUUGAUUGUGUGAGUUGCUUUUAACUAAGUUAAAUUGAUACGGUUAUAUAGAAAUUUCAGAAGAAGCUGAAGUAAAGAGAGAAGUAUGAAACUGCUAGUUGUUGGAACAGCAUCUAAUCAAG
Molecule: long non-coding RNA, 623 nt
Filed under: Ananas comosus (pineapple)
Lineage: Eukaryota; Viridiplantae; Streptophyta; Magnoliopsida; Poales; Bromeliaceae
Description: long non-coding RNA (ACOM_LNC043930)
Source: RNAcentral